GUAGGUUAGUCGAUACGCGUUUCACAAGUCGUCUUGUUUGUUUAAAUUGUAAAUAAUUUGGAACAUUGCGGUGGAUUCGAUCAACAAUCAAGUGCAUUUAGUGGCAAUGGACACGUUUUAUGUUUUGUUUUCAAUUUGUAACGAGUGGAACUUUCGGGAAUGUGCAGUUCAUAUCUGUUGCAAGUGAGUUUCCGUCGACCGUCGGAUAUUGAGCGUUAUGUUGUGAAUUCCUAGAUUACCCGAUGCAGGGGUAAGUUUGUAAAUAUUAUUACAUCAUUAUUACAUUUUGCUUUUUAAUCGCGUGUAGUGAAAGUAUCGUUAUAGUUUAAUAUUGUCGCGUGCCGUCGGAUACAUUUUUGGCCUCGCUGCAGAAAGUUGGUUUUAUUAUCUUUAUUCAUCUCACAUUUUUCUGUUGUUUUGCAAUCUUUAUUCUGUAAUCGCGUUGAUACGUCUAGUAGUUUGACAAUUAAUUACUAUCCGUAAAAAUGUAUGUAAUUCGCGAUUGCGUCGCAAAUAUAAUCUUUUAGUGG
Long non-coding RNA from Dalotia coriaria, 530 nucleotides. RefSeq lists it as uncharacterized. The transcript is spliced from 2 exons. Lineage: Eukaryota; Metazoa; Arthropoda; Insecta; Coleoptera; Staphylinidae. The record is from RefSeq and is a predicted model, not a curated record.